UGGGGAAUUUUGCACAAUGGGGGAAACCCUGAUGCAGCGACGCCGCGUGAUUUAGAAGGCCUUCGGGUUGUAAAAAUCUUUUCUAUGGGAAGAAAAUGACAGUACCAUAGGAAUAAGGACCGGCUAAUUACGUGCCAGCAGCCGCGGUAAUACGUAAGGUCCGAGCGUUGUCCGGAAUCAUUGGGCGUAAAGGGUACGUAGGCGGGUAAGCAAGUUAGAAGUGAAAUCCUGUAGCUCAACUACAGUAAGCUUUUAAAACUGCUCAUCUUGAGAUAUGGAAGGGAAAGUGGAAUUCCUAGUGUAGCGGUGAAAUGCGCAGAUAUUAGGAGGAAUACCGGUGGCGAAGGCGACUCUCUGGUCUGUAACUGACGCUGAGGCUCGAAAGCGUGGGUAGCAAACAG
Molecule: ribosomal RNA, 401 nt
Filed under: Bacteroidota bacterium
Lineage: Bacteria; Pseudomonadati; Bacteroidota
Description: Bacteroidetes bacterium partial 16S ribosomal RNA
Rfam family: Bacterial small subunit ribosomal RNA
Source: RNAcentral